Molecule: ribosomal RNA, 460 nt
Filed under: uncultured bacterium
Lineage: Bacteria
Description: partial 16S ribosomal RNA
Rfam family: Bacterial small subunit ribosomal RNA
Source: RNAcentral
CCUACGGGUGGCUGCAGUGAGGAAUAUUGGUCAAUGGACGCAAGUCUGAACCAGCCAUGCCGCGUGCAGGAAGACGGCUCUAUGAGUUGUAAACUGCUUUUGUACGAGGGUAAACGCAGAUACGCUUAUCUGUCUGCAAGGAUCAUCCGAAUAAGGAUCGGCUAACUCCUUUCCAGCAGCCGCGGUAAUACGGAGGAUUCAAGCGUUAUCCGGAUUUAUUGGGUUUAAAGGGUGCGUAGGCGGUCGGAUAAGUUAGAGAUGAAAUCCCGAGGCUCAACUUCGGAAUUUCCUCUGAUACUGUUCGGCUAGAGAGUAGUUGCGGUAGGUGGAAUGUAUGGUGUAGCGGUGAAAUGCUUAGAGAUCAUACAGAACACCGAUUGCGAAGGCAGCUUACCAAGCUACUUCUGACGUUGAGGCACGAAAGCGUGGGGAGCAAACAGGAUUAGAUACCCUUGUAGUC